UACGUAGGGUGCGAGCGUUAAUCGGAAUUAUUGGGCGUAAAGCGCGCGUAGGCGGUUACUCAAGUCGGAUGUGAAAGCCCUCGGCUUAACUGAGGAAGUGCACCCGAAACUGAGUAGCUAGAGUACUAAAGAGGGUCGCGGAAUUCCCGGUGUAGAGGUGAAAUUCGUAGAUAUCGGGAGGAACACCGGUGGCGAAGGCGGCGACCUGGGUAGAUACUGACGCUGAGGUGCGAAAGCGUGGGGAGCAAACAGG
This 253-nucleotide ribosomal RNA is filed under the name uncultured bacterium. Its description in RNAcentral is "partial 16S ribosomal RNA". It matches the Rfam family "Bacterial small subunit ribosomal RNA", at positions 524 to 776 of the family's 1533-position model. The record is from RNAcentral.